UCUGCGACGGAUACUGCACGCUUCUUCCGUUCUAUGGCAAGUCGCGACAACGGACGCCGCUCCAUUCCCCGUGGUAGACUCCACGUGGCACAUCCCGGUGAUAGCCACGGGUCUACUCCAUUACUCUUCGUAACAAAUUCUGCCUGACUCUGAGCAGCCCACUGUCAGAUGGUUACAGAUGUCGCUAUCAGUCUGCUGCCCCC
RNAcentral lists this long non-coding RNA (203 nucleotides) under Elaeis guineensis (African oil palm). RNAcentral describes it as "long non-coding RNA (EGUI_LNC034164)". The record is from RNAcentral. Lineage: Eukaryota; Viridiplantae; Streptophyta; Magnoliopsida; Arecales; Arecaceae.